This is a long non-coding RNA of Homo sapiens (human), 472 nucleotides long. RefSeq lists it as uncharacterized. The record is from RefSeq and is a predicted model, not a curated record. Lineage: Eukaryota; Metazoa; Chordata; Mammalia; Primates; Hominidae. The transcript is spliced from 2 exons.
AGGAAAUGUUGAGUUGAGUUUCUCAAAAAAUCAAAAGGCACAUCCCCUCCUGAGGUAACAUGAAAUAAGAUGGUAUGAUUUUACUAAAAUUACCCCUCUACUUGAUUCUCUUCCUCAUUGCACCAGAAUGACAGAAUCUAUGUCCUUCAUUUUCAUUUCCCAAGCACUGAGCAUCCAGAAAAUACUCAGCAAGUACUUGUGGAAUAAAGGAAUGAAGAAAGGCAUGGACACUUCUGAAAUCAAGUAUUUUCAAUAAGUUACAGCUAUCAGGAAAAGGCAAGAAGCUUGACAUAGCAUCGAUGAGCCCAAGUCAACUAUAUGAACAAAACAAUGUCUCAGGAGGGGCAGGGUAUCACGUCAGAAGAAUCCUGAGUCCUUAGAUGACCUUGUAGAAAAGAGCCACAAACUUACUCUGGGCUACCUUCAUACCUCUGAACUAUUAUGCAGAGAGAAAUAAAUGUAUUCAAAUCAC